CUGGCGGCGUGCCUAAUACAUGCAAGUAGAACGCUGAAGACUUUAGCUUGCUAGAGUUGGAAGAGUUGCGAACGGGUGAGUAACGCGUAGGUAACCUGCCUAUUAGUGGGGGAUAACUAUUGGAAACGAUAGCUAAUACCGCAUAAUAGUGUUUAACACAUGUUAGAGACUUAAAAGAUGCAAUUGCAUCACUAGUAGAUGGACCUGCGUUGUAUUAGCUAGUUGGUGGGGUAACGGCCUACCAAGGCGACGAUACAUAGCCGACCUGAGAGGGUGAUCGGCCACACUGGGACUGAGACACGGCCCAGACUCCUACGGGAGGCAGCAGUAGGGAAUCUUCGGCAAUGGGGGCAACCCUGACCGAGCAACGCCGCGUGAGUGAAGAAGGUUUUCGGAUCGUAAAGCUCUGUUGUAAGAGAAGAACGUGUGUGAGAGUGGAAAGUUCACACAGUGACGGUAACUUACCAGAAAGGGACGGCUAACUACGUGCCAGCAGCCGCGGUAAUACGUAGGUCCCGAGCGUUGUCCGGAUUUAUUGGGCGUAAAGCGAGCGCAGGCGGUUUAAUAAGUCUGAAGUUAAAGGCAGUGGCUUAACCAUUGUUCGCUUUGG
Molecule: ribosomal RNA, 610 nt
Filed under: Streptococcus macedonicus
Lineage: Bacteria; Bacillati; Bacillota; Bacilli; Lactobacillales; Streptococcaceae
Description: bacterial SSU rRNA
Rfam family: Bacterial small subunit ribosomal RNA
Source: RNAcentral